Molecule: ribosomal RNA, 266 nt
Filed under: uncultured bacterium
Lineage: Bacteria
Description: partial 16S ribosomal RNA
Rfam family: Bacterial small subunit ribosomal RNA
Source: RNAcentral
GUCCACGCCGUAAACGAUGGGUGCUGGGUGUCGCGGGUAUUGACCCCCGCGGUGCCGUAGCUAACGCGUUAAGCACCCCGCCUGGGAAGUACGGCCGCAAGGCUAAAACUCAAAGGAAUUGACGGGGGCCCGCACAAGCAGUGGAGCAUGUGGUUUAAUUCGACGCAACGCGCAGAACCUUACCCGGGCUAGAAAAGCACGGAAUCCGGUAGAAAUACUGGGGUGCCCGCAAGGGAACCGUGAUCCAGGUGCUGCAUGGCUGUCGU